AUUGAACGCUGGCGGCAGGCCUAACACAUGCAAGUCGAGCGGAUGAAGGGAGCUUGCUCCUGGAUUCCGCGGCGGACGGGUGAGUAAUGCCUAGGAAUCUGCCUGGUAGUGGGGGAUAACGUCCGGAAACGGGCGCUAAUACCGCAUACGUCCUGAGGGAGAAAGUGGGGGAUCUUCGGACCUCACGCUAUCAGAUGAGCCUAGGUCGGAUUAGCUAGUUGGUGGGGUAAAGGCCUACCAAGGCGACGAUCCGUAACUGGUCUGAGAGGAUGAUCAGUCACACUGGAACUGAGACACGGUCCAGACUCCUACGGGAGGCAGCAGUGGGGAAUAUUGGACAAUGGGCGAAAGCCUGAUCCAGCCAUGCCGCGUGUGUGAAGAAGGUCUUCGGAUUGUAAAGCACUUUAAGUUGGGAGGAAGGGCAGUAAGUUAAUACCUUGCUGUUUUGACGGUACCAACAGAAUAAGCACCGGCUAACUUCGUG
RNAcentral lists this ribosomal RNA (484 nucleotides) under uncultured bacterium. Its description in RNAcentral is "partial 16S ribosomal RNA". It matches the Rfam family "Bacterial small subunit ribosomal RNA", at positions 30 to 507 of the family's 1533-position model. The record is from RNAcentral.